Molecule: long non-coding RNA, 714 nt
Filed under: Salmo salar (Atlantic salmon)
Lineage: Eukaryota; Metazoa; Chordata; Actinopteri; Salmoniformes; Salmonidae
Description: lncRNA (ENSSSAG00000115997.1)
Source: RNAcentral
GAUUAAUGCACGUUAAACCUACAGUUGUUUUUAUACAGUAUAAUUUAUGCAAUGUGUAUUACAAUAGUGGCUUGUCACCUUCCUUCCCGCCUGAGCCCUCAGUGGAGGAUUCAUAAUGCCCAUAAAACCUAGCGGUCAAGCAGGGAAAUGGUUCCAAUCGUUUUUCCCAUAAGGGAUUUGAGAAACACUUAAAAUAAGGGCUGCAAGCUCCUGGACAUUAUCUCCAGCUGGAACCUUUGCAAACAGGUCUGCAAUAAGGAGUCCAACAGACAAUGUGAUGUCCCCAUGUACAAGACAGCUCAUGAAGAAAGCUAUCAAGGACAUACCGUCAUCUCCCAGACCCAGACGGGAAGCAAAAGAGAACACUGCAAAUAAAUGAAUUACCUUUUUAUGUACAGUGUGAUGUCUUUACGGUAUUCCUCUCUCUGCUAAGAUGGGCAGAUAAAUUAAUCAUUGACACUUUCCUGACAUUCUACCGUCUUUUUAAUAUGUUCUUACUAACCAAGCUGCUCACACUUUAUUGAUCCAUUAUGCAAUGUGGUGUAUAUGGGGGGGUUAUAUUCUUCAUUUAUAUGGUGUAUAGGGGGGUUAUAUUCUUCAUUAAUAUGGGGCUGUUAUAUUCUUCAUUAAUAUGGUGUAUACGGGGGGUUAUAUUCUUCAUUAAUAUGGUGUAUACGGGGGGUUAUAUUCUUCAUUAAUAUGGUGUAUACGGGG